CUCAGGGGUGCGUUAUGCUGAGACGAUAAUAAUUGAUUAUCGAACCCUCUUACCUGAUACGGAUAAUACCGGCGUAGGGAGACGAUG
RNAcentral lists this non-coding RNA (87 nucleotides) under bovine gut metagenome. RNAcentral's name for it is "TPP riboswitch (THI element)". It matches the Rfam family "TPP riboswitch aptamer (THI element)", at positions 9 to 90 of the family's 105-position model. From Rfam's summary of the family: Vitamin B(1) in its active form thiamin pyrophosphate (TPP) is an essential coenzyme that is synthesised by coupling of pyrimidine and thiazole moieties in bacteria. The previously detected thiamin-regulatory element, thi box was extended, resulting in a new, highly conserved RNA secondary structure, the THI element, which is widely distributed in eubacteria and also occurs in some archaea. The record is from RNAcentral.